GCCCGGAUAGCGCAAUUGGUUAACGCGUUAGACUUCUAUUCCUCCUAGCAAUAGGAAGCAAUACGAUAUCUGAAGAUUGUGGGUUCGACUCCCACUUCGGGUG
This is a transfer RNA of Sugiyamaella lignohabitans, 103 nucleotides long. It matches the Rfam family "tRNA". Rfam says of the family: Transfer RNA (tRNA) molecules are approximately 80 nucleotides in length. Their secondary structure includes four short double-helical elements and three loops (D, anti-codon, and T loops). Lineage: Eukaryota; Fungi; Ascomycota; Dipodascomycetes; Dipodascales; Trichomonascaceae. The record is from Rfam.